Molecule: ribosomal RNA, 38 nt
Filed under: uncultured fungus
Lineage: Eukaryota; Fungi
Also listed under: 1 other name
Description: partial 5.8S ribosomal RNA
Source: RNAcentral
CAACUUUCGACAACGGAUCUCUUGGUUCUCCCAUCGAU